AAGCGGUGGAUUAUGUGGAUUAAUUCGAUGCAACGCGAAAACCUUACCUACCCUUGACAUGUACGGAACCUCGCAGAGAUGUGAGGGUGCCCGAAAGGGAGCCGUAACACAGGUGCUGCAUGGCUGUCGUCAGCUCGUGUCGUGAGAUGUUGGGUUAAGUCCCGCAACGAGCGCAACCCUUGCCAUUAGUUGCUACAUUCAGUUGGGCACUCUAAUGGGACUGCCGGUGACAAACCGGAGGAAGGUGGGGAUGACGUCAAGUCCUCAUGGCCCUUAUGGGUAGGGCUUCACACGUAAUACAAUGGCAGGUACAGAGGGACGCCAACCCGCGAGGGGGAGCCAAUCCCAGAAAGCCUGUCGUAGUCCGGAUUGUAGUCUGCAACUCGACUACAUGAAGCUGGAAUCGCUAGUAAUCGCGGAUCAGCAUGUCGCGGUGAAUACGUUCCCGGGUCUU
RNAcentral lists this ribosomal RNA (454 nucleotides) under uncultured beta proteobacterium. RNAcentral's name for it is "bacterial SSU rRNA". It matches the Rfam family "Bacterial small subunit ribosomal RNA", at positions 927 to 1382 of the family's 1533-position model. Lineage: Bacteria; Pseudomonadati; Pseudomonadota; Betaproteobacteria. The record is from RNAcentral.